RNAcentral lists this ribosomal RNA (301 nucleotides) under uncultured bacterium. Its description in RNAcentral is "partial 16S ribosomal RNA". It matches the Rfam family "Bacterial small subunit ribosomal RNA", at positions 509 to 807 of the family's 1533-position model. The record is from RNAcentral.
CAGCCGCCACGGGAACACAGAGGGUGCAAGCGUUAAUCGGAAUUACUGGGCGUAAAGCGCGCGUAGGUGGUUUGUUAAGUUGGAUGUGAAAUCCUCGGGCUCAACCUGGGAACUGCAUUCAAAACUGACUGACUAGAGUAUGGUAGAGGGUGGUGGAAUUUCCUGUGUAGCGGUGAAAUGCGUAGAUAUAGGAAGGAACACCAGUGGCGAAGGCGACCACCUGGACUAAUACUGACACUGAGGUGCGAAAGCGUGGGGAGCAAACAGGAUUAGAUACCCGGGUAGUCCCUGUCUCUUAUAC